This 403-nucleotide ribosomal RNA is filed under the name uncultured bacterium. RNAcentral's name for it is "partial 16S ribosomal RNA". It matches the Rfam family "Bacterial small subunit ribosomal RNA", at positions 30 to 526 of the family's 1533-position model. The record is from RNAcentral.
AUUGAACGCUGGCGGCAGGCCUAACAAAUGCAAGUCGAGCGAGCGGCGGACGGGUGCGUAAUGUAUGGGGACUGCCCGAUAGAGGGGGAUAACUACUGGAAACGGUAGCUAAUACCGCAUACUAUCGGAUAACCCAUAUGGGAUUAGCUAGUAGGUGAGGUAAUGGCUCACCUAGGCGACGAUCCCUAGCUGGUCUGAGAGGAUGAUCAGCCACACUGGAACUGAGACACGGCCCAGACUCCUACGGAGGCAUCAGUGAGGAAUAUUGCACGAUGGGCGCAAGCCUGAUGCAGCCAUGCCGCGUGUAUGAAGAAGGGCCUAAGGUUGUAAAGUACUUUCAGUCGGGAGGCGUUACCGACAGAAGAAGCACCGGCUAACUCCGUGCCAGCAGCCGCGGUAAUAC